UUGAACGCUGGCGGCAGGCCUAACACAUGCAAGUCGAGCGGAUGAAGGGAGCUUGCUCCUGGAUUCAGCGGCGGACGGGUGAGUAAUGCCUAGGAAUCUGCCUGGUAGUGGGGGAUAACGUCCGGAAACGGGCGCUAAUACCGCAUACGUCCUGAGGGAGAAAGUGGGGGAUCUUCGGACCUCACGCUAUCAGAUGAGCCUAGGUCGGAUUAGCUAGUUGGUGGGGUAAAGGCCUACCAAGGCGACGAUCCGUAACUGGUCUGAGAGGAUGAUCAGUCACACUGGAACUGAGACACGGUCCAGACUCCUACGGGAGGCAGCAGUGGGGAAUAUUGGACAAUGGGCGGAAGCCUGAUCCAGCCAUGCCGCGUGUGUGAAGAAGGUCUUCGGAUUGUAAAGCACUUUAAGUUGGGAGGAAGGGCAGUAAGUUAAUACCUUGCUGUUUUGACGUUACCAACAGAAUAAGCACCGGCUAACUUCGUG
RNAcentral lists this ribosomal RNA (483 nucleotides) under uncultured bacterium. RNAcentral's name for it is "partial 16S ribosomal RNA". It matches the Rfam family "Bacterial small subunit ribosomal RNA", at positions 30 to 507 of the family's 1533-position model. The record is from RNAcentral.